UACGUAGGGGGCCAGCGUUGUCCGGAAUCAUUGGGCGUAAAGCGCGCGUAGGCGGCCAGAUAAGUCCGGUGUGAAAGUCACAGGCUCAACCUGUGAAUGCCGCUGGAAACUAUCUGGCUAGAGUCCGGAAGGGGCGAGUGGAAUUCCUGGUGUAGCGGUGAAAUGCGCAGAUAUCAGGAGGAACACCUAUGGCGAAGGCAGCUCGCUGGGACGGUACUGACGCUGAGGCACGAAAGCGUGGGGAGCAAACAGG
This 253-nucleotide ribosomal RNA is filed under the name uncultured bacterium. Its description in RNAcentral is "partial 16S ribosomal RNA". It matches the Rfam family "Bacterial small subunit ribosomal RNA", at positions 524 to 776 of the family's 1533-position model. The record is from RNAcentral.